GUCCCUUUGGGGAAGUCAUUUGAGAAAAAUAAAAGUGAGCUAAUCUGUUCUUAUCAGCUUAAUAUCUGAUACAGUCCCCAUAGGGGGCUCAGUAUAUUAAUCUAUUUUUUGGGACCAGGCGGGUGCUCGGAGCUUGCUCCGACCUUGCCACGGGUCGACCCUGCAUUGCAUUGCAGCAGGGUACGGCCCAGCAGAG
This is a small nuclear RNA of Atta cephalotes, 196 nucleotides long. It matches the Rfam family "U2 spliceosomal RNA". From Rfam's summary of the family: U2 is a small nuclear RNA (snRNA) component of the spliceosome (involved in pre-mRNA splicing). Complementary binding between U2 snRNA (in an area lying towards the 5' end but 3' to hairpin I) and the branchpoint sequence (BPS) of the intron results the bulging out of an unpaired adenosine, on the BPS, which initiates a nucleophilic attack at the intronic 5' splice site, thus starting the first of two transesterification reactions that mediate splicing. The record is from Rfam. NCBI's taxonomy places the organism in Eukaryota, Metazoa, Arthropoda, Insecta, Hymenoptera, Formicidae.